This 616-nucleotide long non-coding RNA is filed under the name Sus scrofa (pig). RNAcentral describes it as "lncRNA (ENSSSCG00070004319.1)". The record is from RNAcentral. Lineage: Eukaryota; Metazoa; Chordata; Mammalia; Artiodactyla; Suidae.
GUCCGAAAGUUUGAAAGAAAGCGAUGAGGACAAUUUCCCUUCAAAGCAGAUCAAUAGCAGCAGAUUCAGAUGAAAGACAUCGAAAAAUCACAAAUCUAAAAGAUCCAGGACAAUCUCAUGGGCAUGGGAAUUGCCACACGGGCCAGAACCCAAGGCCCAAGGGGACAGAGUUCUCCUCUGAGUCCUGCCCGAUGCUGGAUGUCCUUCCUGGUGGCAAGAUCACAGGGUCAGGGGACACCCCACACGGAGAUCAGCCAACCAUGAAUAUGCCUCAGACUUCAUUUGACGCACUUUCUAUGCUUACACCCAGCUCCCUCUUGGGUAAUGAAUUCUGUGACCUUAUUACUUGCUGGAAAUAAAAUAGAUUCCUCUCAUGUAACGUAAAAGUCCUCUUGCUCCAGUGUCACCGAUCCCUUCUUAAACCUGUGCUGCUGGGCUGCAAUGAACAAGGACUUGCUUCCGAGCCCCAUGUGUCCCGUGGAAAUUUCUGGCUCUCUCAGCAGCCCCCCUCAGCCUUCCACAUUCCAGACUAAAGUAAAUGUGUAGUGGCUAGAAGGAAGCCCUAAAUAUAAUAUUUAGUGAGCCAUGAUUAUGGACCUGAAUGUUAAGAGCUGCC